CUCUCCUGCGGCUGGUGCCCGACCUAAUUCACUUCCAGCCAGCUCUGGUCAUUCCUCACAACACUGCAGAAAUCCUAGGAGAGCUGCGUAUCUAACACCUCUGACAAACACAGACAAUGACCAGAGAAAUUAAAACUGCCAGGAAUAAAAGAUAGCACAAAGAGAGCCCUGAGGAAAGUGCACAACGCCGCCGCCGCCGGGAGGGCCAGCGAGUGGGAGAAGCGGAGCCGCUGUCCAGCCCACCUGCUCCGGAGGGGAAGAGAGGGGACCCGUGACCCCGCUCGGGGACGCAGGCCCGAAACACGCACGGAGACAUCGCGGCAGGUCCCUUGGGUCCCCUUGCUCCACGUCGUGGUUCAGUUUGGAGAAUAGCCCCGACCCCUGCAGAUACCUCGCAAUGUGAGAAGCCGUAUGCUGUCCAGCCAGCAGCACAAGGACCCAAUUGUCCUCUUAUAAAAACAUGAAUUACGCCGAUAUAACCCAGCUCAUUUCUCUGCCCUCAUCAGGAAGGCAUCAUAAGUGAGGACAGAAUCAAGUCCAAAAUGUCUGCACAGUAUCUAUCCUAUGAAUUUGAAGGUGAAAAACAAGACUUUUGGGGGAAGUUCUGGGACAAAUCCAACAAUUAAACACCACCCUGUGAAAAUAUUCCCGGUUGUCCUCCAAAAAAGCUGAGUUUACUGACAACUGUGGCUAGAAGGGUUUCCCUAUCACAGACAAACCCCAAAACAUGGAUGAGUUUUGCCGUAAUAAUGCUUAGAAAAGCCAAUGCAUAACUGAGAAAACGGGCCGUGUGGAAUUAGGAAGGGAGGGGAACUUAUUAGCCAUGUGAAGCCCCCCUUCUAGACCAGAUCUGACCUAUUCACUGGUUAAAAUCACUCUUUGCAGGAAGAAAUUGAAUGAUGGAAAGGAAAAGAGGGAUGCUGACAGAAAUACUGAGCAGAAUUCCUGGUCAUACUCCGGGGAUGGUGAGGCAGGACCACUUUCAGCUUGCAUCAAAUACAUGCGCAGGGGAAAAAAAAAAAAGGAAAAAAAAAUAAGAAAAAAGGAAAAAAAAAAGAAAAAACAAGCUAA
Molecule: long non-coding RNA, 1071 nt
Organism: Oxyura jamaicensis (ruddy duck)
Lineage: Eukaryota; Metazoa; Chordata; Aves; Anseriformes; Anatidae
Exons: 2
Source: RefSeq, a predicted model, not a curated record